AGUGAACGCUGGCGGUAGGCCUAACACAUGCAAGUCGAACGGCAGCACAGUAAGAGCUUGCUCUUACGGUUGGCGAGUGGCGGACGGGUGAGGCAUACAUCGGAAUCUACUUUUUCGUGGGGGAUAACGUAGGGCAACUUACGCUAAUACCGCAUACGACCUUCGGGGGGAAGCAGGGGGUCUUCAGACCUUGGGCGAGUGAAUGAGCCGAUGUCGGAUUGGCUAGUUGGCGGGGUAAAGGCCCACCAAUGCGACGAGCCGUAGCUGGUCUGAGAGGAUGAUCAGCCACAGAGGAACAGAGAAACGGUCCAGACACCUACGGGAGGCAGCAGUGGGGAAUAUUGGACAAUGGGCGCAAGCCUGAUCCAGCCAUACCGCGUGGGUGAAGAAGGCCUGCGGGGUGUAAAGCCCUUUUGUUGGGAAAGAAAAGCAGCAGGUUAAUACCCCGCUGUUCUGACGGUACCCAAAGAAUAAGCACCGGCGAACUUCGU
This 491-nucleotide ribosomal RNA is filed under the name uncultured bacterium. RNAcentral's name for it is "partial 16S ribosomal RNA". It matches the Rfam family "Bacterial small subunit ribosomal RNA", at positions 29 to 506 of the family's 1533-position model. The record is from RNAcentral.